Molecule: non-coding RNA, 27 nt
Filed under: Rattus norvegicus (Norway rat)
Lineage: Eukaryota; Metazoa; Chordata; Mammalia; Rodentia; Muridae
Source: RNAcentral
UGUCAAACUGAUGAGCACUUUCUAAUC